This is a long non-coding RNA of Meleagris gallopavo (turkey), 1764 nucleotides long. Lineage: Eukaryota; Metazoa; Chordata; Aves; Galliformes; Phasianidae. The record is from Ensembl.
CUCGCCCCGCGGAGCCGGGCGGGUGCUGCGGCCGGGGAGCUCGGCAUCGCUAUUAGUGCUGCGCGGCGCGGCCCCGGCUCUCCGGUUUCAUUUCCUUUUUCCUGAUCACGAUUCAAAUACAAUAGAAGGAAAUCACGCUUAAAGAGACAGCUGCCCGUUUCUUAACUGGACUCCUGGGGGUUUAGCAACACAAACAGCGGCAUCACGACUCGCUCGGCUUCUUAAAGAGACAGAGCUCGGGCUCCCCGCAGCCGGGGUUGCGAGCUGACGCUGCGUUUUCACAUCGCGACGUCACGGAGCAGCACCGCACCGCUGCUCGGGGCUCCCGGGGAGGUGCGCGACCCGAAAGCAUCCGAAGGGCUGAGGGAAACCUCGGCCGGCUCCGAGCUGUCGGCACCCCGGCCCCACGCGGAAUCACAGCGGCCGUCACGCUCCCUCUCCUCGUCCUCUCCAGCCCUUCACACGCACAUGCCCACACCACGCACGUUUCGCUACGGCACCUGGAAAUCGGGCGCUGGGUCAGAACCCGAGUGCUGUUUUCUACCUAGGGUGCAAAUCGGUCAACUAAACUGUGCUUCCCUUGUAUCCCGUUGUGUUCCAGAGUCACUGGUCGCUGGUGUCUGCUUCCAGAUGCCCCCGAGUUCUCGAUUUGUGUUCUUCAGAAAUACAGCCUUUGAGUACAAACUACGUUAAGCUCCCUAUGAUUUGGCUGAUUUUCCUAAGCUGCUGAGCUGCCACAGCUUAUCCAGAAUUGCAAUGGCAAUGUAAUAAGAAGAAAUGAAUAGCAAUGGGUGAAACAACUUCAUAUUUUCAGGUAUUAUAUUUAAUGGUCAAAAUGCCUCAGUGUGCUUCAGUGUUCACAAAGAAUGUGAGUGGGGAAAAGUGAUUUCAACCGCUGGGUAUGGGGCUUGCAGAAAUAUGUUACUGCAUAAAAAGCAAAUCUUAAUAGCGGUAUGAACCAAAACUUCUUGGUGAGUUGUGAAAAGACACUGGCUUUCAAUAUCUGAAGACACGUAUAUUUAUUCAAGUGGAGUUAGCUGAUUUAUUACACUUGUCUUAUAACCUGUUAUGCAAAAUGCAGUGAUCUGGAAAGCAAAUUAGCUAUCAUAAAAUGGCAAAGCAUUGAGCUGCUAUUUAAAAUACACACAUACAUGAGAAGUCUACGAAACAGUAUUUAUGGAUGCCGUGAAGAAAAAUCUGACUAUUCAGGCAUUAACUGCUGAAGCAUGAGGUCAGAGAAAGCACUUUUCUGCUGAUGACCUACUUGAAUUAACUCACAGGCAGCCAGAAUCAGAACUGGGGCUGUGUGACUGUACACAGGGCUCAGGUGGGGAUGGGAAGGGCAAAGAGAACUCUCCUUUCUGAUGUGGAGAACCAUUAGGUUGGCUCAGUUGUUCAAGGAACGGCCCCCAUUUUUUAAGAAGAAAACAACCCAGGGCAUCCAGGAUUAAACAGACAAAAUCCUAAACUGGAAUUGCAACUGAAAAUUUCAUUUACAAAGUGGAAUUGGGGGAAGUAGAGUAUUAGGGCCUUGUAUUCCUAGUCCUGCAUCCCUUAACUUUACAACGAUCACAGGACAAAUGCGUUUCCAAUGUCACCUAGCUUCCAGCCUGCUUGGCGUUGUUUUCGUACUGCCUUAAUGGGGAGGCACAGAAAGACAGCAUCUCACUCCAAACUGAUACCGAAAUAAUCACCAACCGUAGGCAUGGAAGGUUCAGCAAACAGUUGUCAGCUCUGGUCGCAGAGAUUUAUUAAACGCACUGA